Molecule: small RNA, 131 nt
Filed under: Klebsiella pneumoniae
Lineage: Bacteria; Pseudomonadati; Pseudomonadota; Gammaproteobacteria; Enterobacterales; Enterobacteriaceae
Description: partial RtT sRNA
Rfam family: RtT RNA
About the family: This family represents a bacterial cis-regulatory element known as RtT RNA. The exact function of RtT is unknown although it is thought that it may be involved in changing the cellular response in relation to amino acid starvation.
Source: RNAcentral
GUCGCAGGUUCGAAUCCUGCACGACCCACCAAUUUCAGCAUUUAACUCAGAUGCUGAACGUGAAGGAUAACGUUGCGACAGCAACGGCCCGAAGGGCGAGGCGAAGCCGAGUCAUCCUGCACGACCCACCA